UACGUAGGUGGCAAGCGUUGUCCGGAUUUACUGGGCGUAAAGAGCGCACAGGCGGCUGGUCAAGUCCGAUGUGAAAUCUCCCGGCUUAACUGGGAAACUGCAUCGGAAACUGAUCGGCUUGAAGGUGGGAGAGGGUAGUGGAAUUCCCGGUGUAGUGGUGAAAUGCGUAGAUAUCGGGAGGAACACCAGUGGCGAAGGCGACUACCUGGCCCAUUCUUGACGCUGAGGCGCGAAAGCUAGGGGAGCGAACGGG
This 253-nucleotide ribosomal RNA is filed under the name uncultured bacterium. Its description in RNAcentral is "partial 16S ribosomal RNA". It matches the Rfam family "Bacterial small subunit ribosomal RNA", at positions 524 to 776 of the family's 1533-position model. The record is from RNAcentral.